CAGUCGCCGCGGUAAUACGAAGGGGGCUAGCGUUGCUCGGAAUGACUGGGCGUAAAUGGUGCGUAGGCGGCGAUCAAAGUCAGGCGUGAAAUUCCUGGGCUCAACCUGGGGGCUGCGCUUGAUACUUGGUUGCUUGAGUGGGGAAGAGGGUCGUGGAAUUCCCAGUGUAGAGGUGAAAUUCGUAGAUAUUGGGAAGAACACCGGUGGCGAAGGCGGCGACCUGGUCCUUGACUGACGCUGAGGCGCGAAAGCGUGGGGAGCAAACAGGAUUAGAUACCCCCGUAGUCCCUGUCUCUUAUAC
This 301-nucleotide ribosomal RNA is filed under the name uncultured bacterium. RNAcentral describes it as "partial 16S ribosomal RNA". It matches the Rfam family "Bacterial small subunit ribosomal RNA", at positions 509 to 807 of the family's 1533-position model. The record is from RNAcentral.